Molecule: ribosomal RNA, 257 nt
Filed under: uncultured bacterium
Lineage: Bacteria
Description: partial 16S ribosomal RNA
Rfam family: Bacterial small subunit ribosomal RNA
Source: RNAcentral
UCCCUACGGGACGCAGCAGUGGGGAAUAUUGCACAAUGGGCGAAAGCCUGAUGCAGCAACGCCGCGUGAAGGAAGAAGGGUUUCGGCUCGUAAACUGCUAUCAACAGGGACGAAAGAAAUGACGGUACCUGAAUAAGAAGCCCCGGCUAACUAAGAGCCAGCAGCCGCGGUAAUACGUAGGGGGCCAGCGUUAUCCGGAAUUACUGGGGGUAAAGGGUGAGUAGGCGGCAUGGUAAGCCAGAUGUGAAAGCCUUGGG